GGAAAGUUUACAGCUACAGGAUGGAUAGUGGACAUGUUCCAGUAUGACUGGAAUUUUACACUAACUGGCCUAAAAUAGUUAAAGAGUAUGUGAGAUUAAAGGAGCAGAUCCUUCAGAUGGCUGCCUUGCUCUGAGAGCCACGACAUGGAGUCCUGCAGUCCACAUUCUGUGGUAGCACCUUUAGAAUUCGUCUAUGGCACAACUAUACAGGUUGAAACUGAACCUGGCGCAAUGAGCCACUACUUGGCAAUGCUUCGAAGGAACCCAGUUAAAGAGUGAAACACUGCACUCAGGAAAGCUAACAUGCAAACAUAUUGGACGCUUCACCGCACGAGGCAUUCUGUGGACAUGCUAGGAAGCCGACUGAUGUCAGGGCAGUCUCUGGGUGAAUUCAGCACUAUAUGCUUUUCGAAACUUUGAUGCUUCCUAUACCGUCCUUGAUACAGGUUUCCACAAAUAACCCAGUCAACACCUUGUCUACAUACAACAUAAUUGUCCUACUCAUAUUGUUCCUACAUACGUUUUUGCAGGCAGAAAUCCAUUUGGCUAGACAUUUUGGUUCACAAGACAAACAACAGACAGUAAAAGGUUAACUUGUUGGCACUACAGAUCAUUCAUCUUGCAAGACAGAGGAAGGCAUAGACAGAAAUACAUCAAAUUAAUUGCUAAACAUCUUCACACCUGUGUAUCACUUAACUGAACCCUGUUGAAUAAUGAACAUUCUAGUUACGUAUUAAAUCCAAUUUGACCAAAAUCAUAAAGAGGCUGUCAGUAUAUCUGCUCAUAUUAGGAAAACAUAUAACCCAAUAUUCAAGCAGAUGUUAAGUAUUGCCUUGCGUUCAUAUCUCUCUGGUAAUUUAGUUUUGCAAAGACCAAGCCUCUUAAGGUUAGGAAUGUCAGCAUGUCGAGCCCAUUUCAUUUCAUCCAUUCAUUUAGGUUAAACUUGGUUACAGUACUGUGUGUAAUAUGAAAGGAGAAAGAGACACUGGCAUUGUUGUUUGCUGUACUGGCUGCCAUGGCUAGAGAGAAGCACCCAGUGAAUCAAGGCACCACAAAGUAUCUGUUAAUACAUGACUGUUGUUGGCCACUCUUUUCUGUGUACUUUUAUGUGGUGAAGGAUUUAAGUGUCUGUUGAUUACACAGCUCAUCUGUCAUUUAUUGUCUUGUAAGGCAGUAAUCUAAACAUAUUAACAUAUUUCCAUUUGCCAACUUAGUCCCCAUGCAAACUCUCCAUAUAAAUUCUUUCAGGUAUAGCAGUGAGCAAGGAGAGAAGGAAUCACAGUGUAUUUGCACCUGGUUAAAUGUGUAUCUCUCUCGUGAAAGACUGUUAAUACUGUAGUAGCGGAGUCUGUAUGUGAAGUGUGAACACAGCAGGGGGUGCCAGGCAGCCAACUCAUCCAACCAUCACAUUCAUUUAAUCAUUCACACUAUCAUGAAUCAGGGAAUAUCCCAGCAAACAACAGUGCGAUAAUGUGCCAAGCACCUAGAAAAGCUGUUGGCCUCUGGGUUCGUCAGGUGUAGCCAGCUAUAUUACACAAUUCACACAAAUGCUACUGGAUCUACUCUAUAGCUUAAACUUGCUGGGCUGGUUUUUUUUUUUUUUUUUUGCUAAAGCUAAUUAUUCUUCUCAAUAGAACAAAAGCAAGAGAGUUUAAAAGAGCAUGUUGAAAUUGUUAGAUUCUGGUACGAAUGAUUUUCUGGCUGCUGUCUUGGGAAUAAAAUAUUUGCAUCAGAAUUUACCCAAUCUUAAUCUCAUGAGAAGGGUGUAAGGGUCAAAGCAGCAACCAAGGAUGGAGCCAAAAUGUUGGACAACUGACCCUAAGAUCAGUGGAAUAGAAAUGUGUGUGCAAAGACAUACACAUUAUUGUCUGUCCACUCAUUCUUUUCCAUCCUUGGCAAAAAACCCAUCACCCCAUCCACUACAACCAGUCUGAAGUCUGCUUCUGAAAUCACAGCAGGCACAAAGGGGUCUGUAGUAGCCCAUGUUUCCAUUUUUGCAGUGAACCUUGGCAUCCUAUGUUAUUAUUAUUAGUAGUAGAAGUACCUAUUAAGCUGCUGAGACUUAUUAGAAACAAAUUUCUAAAGGUUAUAGCACGCAGUGAAAAACUGUUUGUGUUGUGCAACUGAUGAUAAUAUAUAUGCGUCAUCAGUCCUCAUGGCAAACUCAUCACACGCCACAUUCCCUUUUAGUGUACUUUUUCCUCCAACGAGGUGCAGUGCUCUAUGUACAAGAGAUUGACAAUAACGCGACAGAACUCUUACAGUUAUUUUGCAAAAGAGCAGCACCAUUGAAACACUCACACACUGGCUGGCACAUAAGGAGAACCCAAUUAUUCAUCAAAGUACACAGCCUUAGCAUGCAUCCUUUAUAAUAAAAAUCAGAUAAAAUAACCCCUUCUUUUCUGUGUAUUACAGUGCACACCAACAUAAUAAAAGCUUCCUAAUGGAAAAACUCAUAGUAAGAAUAGUGCACAAUUUACAAAUGUUGUGCCACUCGUAGCUUAUUUUUAACAACCAUCCAAUUUGGAACCGUCACAAGAAUAGGGAAUGAUGGAGGAAUCCUAGAGAUUAAUCUGA
This is a long non-coding RNA of Pangasianodon hypophthalmus (striped catfish), 2577 nucleotides long. RefSeq lists it as uncharacterized. The transcript has 3 exons. NCBI's taxonomy places the organism in Eukaryota, Metazoa, Chordata, Actinopteri, Siluriformes, Pangasiidae. The record is from RefSeq and is a predicted model, not a curated record.